Molecule: ribosomal RNA, 497 nt
Filed under: uncultured bacterium
Lineage: Bacteria
Description: partial 16S ribosomal RNA
Rfam family: Bacterial small subunit ribosomal RNA
Source: RNAcentral
GAUGAACGCUGGCGGCGUGCCUAAUACAUGCAAGUCGAGCGUACAGACGAGGAGCUUGCUCCUCUGACGUUAGCGGCGGACGGGUGAGUAACACGUGGAUAACCUACCUAUAAGACUGGGAUAACUUCGGGAAACCGGAGCUAAUACCGGAUAAUAUAUUGAACCGCAUGGUUCAAUAGUGAAAGACGGUUUUGCUGUCACUUAUAGAUGGAUCCGCGCCGCAUUAGCUAGUUGGUAAGGUAACGGCUUACCAAGGCAACGAUGCGUAGCCGACCUGAGAGGGUGAUCGGCCACACUGGAACUGAGACACGGUCCAGACUCCUACGGGAGGCAGCAGUAGGGAAUCUUCCGCAAUGGGCGAAAGCCUGACGGAGCAACGCCGCGUGAGUGAUGAAGGUCUUCGGAUCGUAAAACUCUGUUAUUAGGGAAGAACAAAUGUGUAAGUAACUAUGCACGUCUUGACGGUACUUAAUCAGAAAGCCACGGCUAACUACGUG